RNAcentral lists this ribosomal RNA (488 nucleotides) under uncultured bacterium. RNAcentral describes it as "bacterial SSU rRNA". It matches the Rfam family "Bacterial small subunit ribosomal RNA", at positions 17 to 507 of the family's 1533-position model. The record is from RNAcentral.
UCCUGGCUCAGAUUGAACGCUGGCGGAAUGCUUACACAUGCAAGUCGAACGGUAGAGGGGCAACCCUUGAGAGUGGCGAACGGGUGAGUAAUAUAUCGGAACGUGCCAGUCGUGGGGAUAACGUAGCGAAAGUUACGCUAAUACCGCAUACGAUCUAAGGAUGAAAGCGGGGGACUCGCAAGAGCCUCGCGCGAUUGGAGCGGCCGAUAUCAGAUUAGCUAGUUGGUGGGGUAAAGGCCCACCAAGGCGACGAUCUGUAGCUGGUCUGAGAGGACGACCAGCCACACUGGAACUGAGACACGGUCCAGACUCCUACGGGAGGCAGCAGUGGGGAAUUUUGGACAAUGGGCGCAAGCCUGAUCCAGCAAUGCCGCGUGCAGGAUGAAGGCCUUCGGGUUGUAAACUGCUUUUGUACGGAACGAAACGGCCCUUUCUAAUACAAGGGGCUAAUGACGGUACCGUAAGAAUAAGCACCGGCUAACUACGUG